This 259-nucleotide ribosomal RNA is filed under the name uncultured bacterium. RNAcentral's name for it is "partial 16S ribosomal RNA". It matches the Rfam family "Bacterial small subunit ribosomal RNA", at positions 793 to 1055 of the family's 1533-position model. The record is from RNAcentral.
GUCCACGCCGUAACGAUGUCAACUAGCCGUUGGUUCCUUGAGGACUUAGUGGCGCAGCUAACGCAUUAAGUUGACCGCCUGGGGAGUACGGCCGCAAGGUUAAACUCAAAUGAAUUGACGGGGCCCGCACAAGCGGUGGAGCAUGUGGUUUAAUUCGAAGCAACGCGAAGAACCUUACCAGGCCUUGACAUCUACAGAACUUUCCAGAGAUGGAUGGGUGCCUUCGGGAACUGUAAGACAGGUGCUGCAUGGCUGUCGU